UAGAUAUAGAAUUCCACAGAAAACCCUCUGAAAUGCUGUUCUGUGCUAAACAAGAACUCCACUGCAUAUAACCUAAGUUACUUUGUAACCUUCUUGCCUAUUCAAGCACAGACAGUCAAGAUCACAAUGAAAACAGCUGACUCCAUAUGAAAAUGGUUACAAAAAAAAUCAUGUCAAGUGCAAAUAUAUCUGAGCAGACAAGAAGAUGAGCUAUUCUAAUAAAAGAGAUAACUCAUCCUUGUUAUGUGAAGUCAAGAGCCUCAACUUCAAAAGGCAACAUUUUAGGAAGAUAAAGUGAAUCCUUCUCAUUCUAAUUUUGUUGUUUCAUACUUUAUAAAACACAAAAGCAAUGAAU
This 355-nucleotide long non-coding RNA is filed under the name Homo sapiens (human). RNAcentral describes it as "HSALNT0202873". Lineage: Eukaryota; Metazoa; Chordata; Mammalia; Primates; Hominidae. The record is from RNAcentral.